This 645-nucleotide ribosomal RNA is filed under the name Aristolochia fangchi. Its description in RNAcentral is "eukaryotic LSU rRNA". The stretch from base 177 to 332 matches the Rfam family "5.8S ribosomal RNA". The record is from RNAcentral. Lineage: Eukaryota; Viridiplantae; Streptophyta; Magnoliopsida; Piperales; Aristolochiaceae.
CGGCCGGGUCUCCGGUGCGCGAGCGCCGCCGGCUGCGGGAGACCGCGGCCGGAACGAACGAACGAACACCACACGGGGCGCGAUUGGCGCCAAGGAGAACGCGGAAAGAAGGACGCUCGCGGUGCCCCCCUGCGGAGGUGCUGGCUGGGCGUCCGCUCGAAAUCGUAACGAAACACGACUCUCGGCAACGGAUAUCUUGGCUCUCGCAUCGAUGAAGAACGUAGCGAAAUGCGAUACUUGGUGUGAAUUGCAGAAUCCCGUGAACCAUCGAGUCUUUGAACGCAAGUUGCGCCCGAGGCCACUAGGUCGAGGGCACACCUGCCUGGGCGUCACGCCCUCCCCCAUCUCUCCGCCCCCGACCCCCUCGCGCGCGACCCCUCGAUCGGAGGGUGCGUGGGGGUGUCCCGAGGUGCGAGCAGACUGGCCGCCCGUGCCUCCCGGGUGCGGUUGGCUGAAAGCCUUGGCCCGACGGCGGCGUGCGGCACGACAAGUGGUGGCUCGGCCCUCCCAGGCCACGAGUGUCUCGAUGUCGUGUUUGCGGAUUCGCCGCUCGAGGCCGCAGAGGACCCUAACCGUCCGCCUCCGCUCAGGGAGGCGUCGCUCGGACUGCGACCCCAGGUCAGGUGGGAUCACCCGCUGAGUUUA